Molecule: long non-coding RNA, 97 nt
Organism: Telopea speciosissima
Lineage: Eukaryota; Viridiplantae; Streptophyta; Magnoliopsida; Proteales; Proteaceae
Exons: 3
Source: RefSeq, a predicted model, not a curated record
UUUCCUGCUGAGAAGGCUGAGAAAAUCAUAAAACUUGCAGAAACCGAAUCGCCUAAUCCGAAACUCAUACUUCUUCAAGCUUCGAACCUCGGCUGUU